CUCAAGAGUGAGAACCUUUGCUCUGCAAUAAGUGUGCUGAUUAUAGAUGGGACCAUAAUUGCAGGCAGCAGAGAUUUCCUGUUUGGUUUGAUUUUAGAGCGGUGCAGAUUUAGAGAUUUAUGCCUUGUGGAGACAAGAAACUUGUGUGGAAGUUUUCAAACAAACCAACUACUGAGCCCCUGUGCCAUGGUCCAUCAUUCUGGCUCUACAGAGUUCACUCAUACUGUCCUGGAGCUGCAAAGAGUGAUAGUGUGCAAGUCUAAUAGCUUGCUUGCAAACCACUGUGAACUGAAAGACAGUAAAUCUUCCUUAAAACUAAAAUUAUCUGGGGAUCUACUGGAAAUUCACCAGUCAAGUUUAAGAAAUUUCCACUCCACAGACAUUAGGCAGUGAAUUUCACCCUUGCUGGAGGAAAGAAGGGGAGAAGGUCUGAAAAGAAAACCCACCAAACUGAAAAAUAGAUUAAUGUAGGGCCAGCUGGGGAGAGCUCCUUUCUCCAGAGAACUAUGUUUUAGUGUCAUCAACCAGGGCAGACACAUGAGGGACUCCACAGCAGCUGUGCAUCAGAGAAUUCACACACAGAAGCAGCGUUAACAACUCUCUCAGCUGAAGUAUCUUAGACAGGAUAAUGUCAUUUUUACAUACCAGAGACAUCAAUUCAGCACAUGGCACCACUGGAGGUGAGCUGAAUGUUCUUCAAACAGCAGUAUGAACACACUUUGCAAAUCUGCACAGUACUAGAACCACUCCAAAAUGGGGACAAAACAUCACUAUGCA
Vidua macroura (Pin-tailed whydah) is the source of this 777-nucleotide long non-coding RNA. RefSeq lists it as uncharacterized. The transcript is spliced from 3 exons. Lineage: Eukaryota; Metazoa; Chordata; Aves; Passeriformes; Viduidae. The record is from RefSeq and is a predicted model, not a curated record.